UCAACUCUAUCUACUCUUGGAAG
RNAcentral lists this non-coding RNA (23 nucleotides) under Cricetulus griseus (Chinese hamster). The record is from RNAcentral. Lineage: Eukaryota; Metazoa; Chordata; Mammalia; Rodentia; Cricetidae.